AAAUAUCAAACACUAGACCGACUUCUGUAUUAUUUUAAGUAUUAUGUUUAGAUUAACAAUUAAGCAUCAGCUGUCUCCAAUGAUGACAUCACUUCCCCUAUAAAAGGGUGAUCAGUCUCAAUGCCACAAUACCUUUGACAAAGCUGCCUGGAGCAGCGAAACGCGUUAGUAAAAGACCGGUGUGGACACAUGCUGACCAGCACUUCCAUCACGCCACCACUUGCAGUCAGGACCUCUGCUUACAUCUCCAUCUCCGUGAACCAGGACCCCUACUGGCAUUGCUAUUGCCUACAACAUCUAUAGAGGAUCCACUUAAUGGAACACGGAGUUCCAAGUGAACUGUGAACCAGGACCCCAACUACAUCACCGUUGCCACACGGACUUACACCUAACGGGAUCCACUCUAAACGGAACACAGACUUGACAGCGAAUGGUCCAAAGAAGAAGUGUGCUGGGCAACGCCCUACUAUAGUAUUUAUACCCUAGCAGUUACAGGCCCUAUUCUGGAACAGGCCACGGAGGAGGAGGAGGAUGAUGAUGAGGCGGCAUUUAGUGACGAGGAGUGGCCAGAAUAAAUUUAUGUCCGUCGCCAACGUGUGGAGGAGACAGCUGUGCCAGUGAUCUAUGGGGGCCCCAGACCGGGCCAAGACAAGGACCAUGGGCCAGACACCCAGCACCCUGGCCCACAGUAUUACACUAGAGAACAGCUGCUGAUGGCCCUCCAGGCCCUUCGUAUAUUGGUCCACAUGAUAGAGGACCAGUUUUAUUCAUUUUUUGUUUUGCUGU
This is a long non-coding RNA of Pseudophryne corroboree (corroboree frog), 786 nucleotides long. RefSeq lists it as uncharacterized. Lineage: Eukaryota; Metazoa; Chordata; Amphibia; Anura; Myobatrachidae. The record is from RefSeq and is a predicted model, not a curated record. The transcript is spliced from 7 exons.